Molecule: ribosomal RNA, 434 nt
Filed under: uncultured bacterium
Lineage: Bacteria
Description: bacterial SSU rRNA
Rfam family: Bacterial small subunit ribosomal RNA
Source: RNAcentral
AACGAACGCUAGCGGCGCGUUUUAAGCAUGCAAGUCGAACGAAGAAAUUAAGGAAGAAGCUUCGGCAGAAACCUUGAUUUCUUAGUGGCAAACGGGUGAGUAACACGUGGGUAAUUUGCCCUGAAGAUCGGGAUAGCCCUUGGAAACAAGGAUUAAUACCGGAUGUGGCGGCCAAACAUAAGUUUGGAAUGUUAAAGGUGGGGACCUUCGGGCCUGCCACUUCAGGAUAAGCCCGCGGCCCAUUAGCUAGUUGGUAAGGUAAGAGCUUACCAAGGCCACGAUGGGUAGCCGGCCUGAGAGGGUGAACGGCCACAUUGGGGACUGAGACACGGCCCAGACUCCUACGGGAGGCAGCAGCUAAGAAUCUUCCGCAAUGGGGGAAACCCUGACGGAGCGACGCCGCGUGAAUGAUGAAGGCUCUCAGAGUUGGAAAA